RNAcentral lists this ribosomal RNA (447 nucleotides) under Quadraseta brasiliensis. RNAcentral describes it as "SSU rRNA". It matches the Rfam family "Eukaryotic small subunit ribosomal RNA", at positions 539 to 994 of the family's 1831-position model. The record is from RNAcentral. Lineage: Eukaryota; Metazoa; Arthropoda; Arachnida; Trombidiformes; Trombiculidae.
UUUUAUAUUGGAGGGCAAGUCUGGUGCCAGCAGCCGCGGUAAUUCCAGCUCCAAUAGCGUAUAUUAAAGUUGUUGCGGUUAAAAAGCUCGUAGUUGGAUCUCAGCUCACGCUAAGUGGUCCACUUAAUGGUGGUUACUACUUAGCUGAGCAUUUUACAGAUUUGUCUCUUGAUGCUCUUCACCGAGUGUCAAGAGUGGUCUGUACGUUUACUUUGAAAAAAUUAGAGUGCUUAAAGCAGGCAACUCGCCCGAAUAAUCUUGCAUGGAAUAAUGGAAUAGGACCUUGGUUCUAUUUUGUUGGUCUCCGGAAUCUGAGGUAAUGAUUAAGAGGGACAGACGGGGGCAUUCGUAUUGCGCCGCUAGAGGUGAAAUUCUUGGACCGGCGCAAGACGAACUACAGCGAAAGCAUUUGCCAAGAAUGUUUCAUAAUCAAGAACGAAAGUAGAG